RNAcentral lists this microRNA precursor (78 nucleotides) under Schistosoma bovis. RNAcentral's name for it is "mir-3492 microRNA precursor family". It matches the Rfam family "mir-3492 microRNA precursor family". Lineage: Eukaryota; Metazoa; Platyhelminthes; Trematoda; Strigeidida; Schistosomatidae. RNAcentral also lists the same sequence under 1 other name. The record is from Rfam by way of RNAcentral.
AGCUUUCUGUAUUCGUGCUGAGAUUUCGCCACACAUCAGACCGCAAAGGCUGAUAAGACUCCCUAUAUAAAUGAAGCG